UGAAUACGAGAUGCUACGGCGUCGAAGCAGUCUAUGUCAUACUUCCAAGAAAAGCUUGCACUGUCAUAAACAAAUAAUGCCUGUACCAUAACCGACACAGGUGGGUAGGUAGAGUAUACUAAGGGGCGCGAGAUAACUCUCUCUAAGGAACUCGGCAAAAUGACUCCGUAACUUCGGGAGAAGGAGUGCCUUAUUUUAUAAGGUUGCAAUAACAAGAUCCAAGCAACUGUUUACCAAAAACACAGGUCUCCGCUAAGUCGUAAGACGAUGUAUGGGGGCUGACGCCUGCCCAGUGCCAGAAGGUUAAAGAAGUUGGUUAGCAUCCGCGAAGCUGAUAACUGAAGCCCUGGUGAACGGCGGCCGUAACAAUAACGGUCCUAAGGUAGCGAAAUUCCUUGUCGGGUAAGUUCCGACCCGCACGAAAGGCGUAAUGAUUUGGAUACUGUCUCAGAGAGGGGCUCGGUGAAAUAGACUUGUCUGUGAAGAUGCGGACUACCUGCACCAGGACAGAAAGACCCUAUGAAGCUUUACUGUAACUUGAAAUUGAAAUUGGACUUUACUUGCGCAGUAUAGGUGGGAGGCGUUGAGAAUAUUCUUGCGGGAAUGUUGGAGCCAUCAGUGAGAUACCACUCUUGUAAUGUUAGAUUUCUAACUUUGUAUCAUUAUCUGGUCAAAGGACAGUUUCAGGCGGGCAGUUUGACUGGGGCGGUCGCCUCCCAAACGGUAACGGAGGCGCACAAAGGUUUCCUCUGAACGGGUAGAAAUCGUAUCUAGAGUGUAAAGGCAUAAGGAAGCUUGACUGUGAGACCUACAAGUCGAGCAGGGACGAAAGUCGGUCUUAGUGAUCUGACGGUGCUGAGUGGAAAGGCCGUCACUCAACGGAUAAAAGUUACUCUAAGGAUAACAGGCUGAUCUCCCCCAAGAGUUCACAUCGACGGGGAGGUUUGGCACCUCGAUGUCGGCUCAUCGCAUCCUGGGGCGGUAGUACGUCCCAAGGGUUGGGCUGUUCGCCCAUGAAAGCGGUACGCGAGCUGGGUUCAGAACGUCGUGAGACAGUUCGGUCCAUAUCCGGUGUAGGCGUUAGAAUAUUGAGAGGAGCCUUCUUUAGUACGAGAGGACCGAGAAGGACAUACCUCUGGUGUACCAGUUAUCGUGCCAACGGUAAACGCUGGGUAGCUAUGUAUGGAGUGGAUAACCGCUGAAAGCAUCUAAGUGGGAAGCCCACCUCAAGAUAAGUAUUCUCA
Molecule: ribosomal RNA, 1244 nt
Filed under: metagenome
Description: bacterial LSU rRNA
Rfam family: Bacterial large subunit ribosomal RNA
Source: RNAcentral